AUCUUCAAGUGAGAGGAAAAGGCAAAAAUUGUCUGGAUCAGAGAAUUCAGGCGCAUUCAUCUUCAUUAAUGAGUUAACUAUUUUACAAUUUAUAGUUAAACAUUGGCUUUCACUGUCAGCUACAUUUGGGAACUACAUGAAAUCAGAUAUUGAUCCAUCACAGAGAUUUUUAAGAAGCCAAUGCAAAUUGGGAAGAAUCCUAGCGAUUAUCAACUCCAACAUCUGACAUUUUCAGGCUGUGACUACUAAAAGCAAUCAGGUGGAGCCUGGAGUUACUCAGAGAAUUACCCUUAUUACCUACACAUCUCUCAUCCACGGGGCGAGGACGGGAGGAGCUGGGACAGGGCCCAGGUUUCCAUUACCCGCUUCAGCUUGGUUAGCACUUGUUUGAUACUAAAUGCUCUGAACUCGUUCCUGAUGAACAAUGGUGCACAGUACAAACCAAACUAAUUGGCAGAGAAAAAACUACCUCAGUGACACGGAAAAGAGUGAGCAGAAGAUUCCGUCCCAGAAUCCCAUCACUCCAUCUGCA
Long non-coding RNA from Manis pentadactyla (Chinese pangolin), 532 nucleotides. RefSeq lists it as uncharacterized. The transcript has 3 exons. Lineage: Eukaryota; Metazoa; Chordata; Mammalia; Pholidota; Manidae. The record is from RefSeq and is a predicted model, not a curated record.